AUAUAUAUGUGGUUUUACCCCAGAGAGCUAAUGUUUGUAGCUUUAACAAUUCUUCCAGGUUACUCCCCUAUAUAUCCAUUAAUCUUCUAUUUAAUGUGCUCUUACCUGUUCCUACUGCUUCCCCUAAAAGCAUUUUUACUGGUUCUCCCCUUUCCCCAAAGAAACAUUAUUAUUUUGAGAGCUGGAGAACAGCUUUGCAUUAGCUAGGACAUAG
Pelobates cultripes (western spadefoot toad) is the source of this 214-nucleotide non-coding RNA. The record is from the annotation of a GenBank genome assembly. NCBI's taxonomy places the organism in Eukaryota, Metazoa, Chordata, Amphibia, Anura, Pelobatidae.